UAUUGUUCUUCAAGGAUAAAA
RNAcentral lists this non-coding RNA (21 nucleotides) under Caenorhabditis elegans. The record is from RNAcentral. Lineage: Eukaryota; Metazoa; Nematoda; Chromadorea; Rhabditida; Rhabditidae.